GACGAACGCUGGCGGCGCGCUUAACACAUGCAAGUCGAGCGAUGAAAUUUCGACAGAUCCCUUCGGGGUGAAGAUGAAAUGGAUUAGCGGCGGACGGGUGAGUAACACGUGAGUAACCUGCCUUUGACAUUGGGAUAGCCUCGGGAAACUGGGAUUAAUACCAAAUGACACUAACUGAUCACAUGAUCAAUUAGUCAAAGAAAUUCGGUCAAAGAUGGACUCGCGGCUGAUUAGCUAGUUGGUGAGGUAACGGCCCACCAAGGCGACGAUCAGUAGCCGGCCUGAGAGGGUGAUCGGCCACAUUGGAACUGAGACACGGUCCAAACUCCUACGGGAGGCAGCAGUGGGGAAUAUUGCACAAGGGGGGAAACCCUGAUGCAGCGACGCCGCGUGAGCGAAGAAGGCCUUCGGGUCGUAAAGCUCUUUUAUGAGGGAAGAUAAUGACGGUACCUCAAGAAAAAGCCCCGGCUAACUACGU
RNAcentral lists this ribosomal RNA (478 nucleotides) under uncultured bacterium. RNAcentral's name for it is "partial 16S ribosomal RNA". It matches the Rfam family "Bacterial small subunit ribosomal RNA", at positions 28 to 506 of the family's 1533-position model. The record is from RNAcentral.